Molecule: long non-coding RNA, 267 nt
Organism: Osmerus eperlanus (European smelt)
Lineage: Eukaryota; Metazoa; Chordata; Actinopteri; Osmeriformes; Osmeridae
Exons: 2
Source: RefSeq, a predicted model, not a curated record
UUGCGUCAAUUGCCUUUACGUUCAUGGUACUGUACUGUACUGUAGGCUAGUUAGAACUAGAGCGAGCUAGCAUCAGUUUCAAACACAGCAGCAUCGUCGUUGAGGAACAGUUGUACUGUACUGUAUGAUGGAGUUGUGCCAAGUCUGGCAUUGCUACUGAUGUUGAUGUGAGCUGAAAAGGAGGCCCAGUGCCUUGGAGGUGGAUGUCAGACCACUGGACGAAGGAGCGCUGGAUGGGAGACCACUAGUUGAAGGAGCGCUGGAUGG